UUGGAGGCAGCAGUGAGGAAUAUUGGACAAUGGGCGCAAGCCUGAUCCAGCCAUGCCGCGUGCAGGAAGAAGCAUCUAUGGUGUGUAAACUGCUUUUGUACGGGAAGAAACACUCCUUCGUGAAGGAGCUUGACGGUACCGUAAGAAUAAGGAUCGGCUAACUCCGUGCCAGCAGCCGCGGUAAUACGGAGGAUCCAAGCGUUAUCCGGAAUCAUUGGGUUUAAAGGGUCCGUAGGCGGUUUGGUAAGUCAGUGGUGAAAGCCCGCAGCUCAACUGUGGAACGGCCAUUGAUACUGCCAGACUUGAAUUACAAGGAAGUAACUAGAAUAUGUAGUGUAGCGGUGAAAUGCUUAGAUAUUACAUGGAAUACCAAUUGCGAAGGCAGGUUACUACUUGUGGAUUGACGCUGAUGGACGAAAGCGUGGGGAGCGAACAGGAUUAGAUACCCUUGUAGUCG
RNAcentral lists this ribosomal RNA (457 nucleotides) under uncultured bacterium. Its description in RNAcentral is "bacterial SSU rRNA". It matches the Rfam family "Bacterial small subunit ribosomal RNA", at positions 342 to 796 of the family's 1533-position model. The record is from RNAcentral.